CCCUUAGAUGUUCUGGGCCGCACGCGCGCUACACUGACGAAGUCAGCGAGCAUGUCCUACGCCGACAGGUGCGGGGAAUCUUGUCAAACUUUGUCGUGAUGGGGAUUGAUUAUUGAAAUUCUUGAUCAUCAACGAGGAAUUCCUAGUAAGCGCAAGUCAGCAGCUUGCGUUGAUUACGUCCCUGCCCUUUGUACACACCGCCCGUCGCUACUACCGAUUGAAUGGUUUAGUGAGAUCUUCGGAUUGGCGCCACUGCGGCUCAGCAAUGGGCUCGGUGGAUGCCGAAAAGUUGAUCAAACUUGAUCAUUUAGAGGAAGUAAAAGUCGUAACA
Molecule: ribosomal RNA, 331 nt
Filed under: uncultured eukaryote
Lineage: Eukaryota
Description: partial 18S ribosomal RNA
Rfam family: Eukaryotic small subunit ribosomal RNA
Source: RNAcentral